This 497-nucleotide ribosomal RNA is filed under the name uncultured bacterium. RNAcentral describes it as "partial 16S ribosomal RNA". It matches the Rfam family "Bacterial small subunit ribosomal RNA", at positions 28 to 507 of the family's 1533-position model. The record is from RNAcentral.
GAUGAACGCUGGCGGCGUGCCUAAUACAUGCAAGUAGAACGCUGAAGCUUGGUGCUUGCACCGAGCGGAUGAGUUGCGAACGGGUGAGUAACGCGUAGGUAACCUGCCUCUUAGCGGGGGAUAACUAUUGGAAACGAUAGCUAAUACCGCAUAAAAGUCGAUAUCGCAUGAUAUUGAUUUGAAAGGUGCAAUUGCAUCACUAAGAGAUGGACCUGCGUUGUAUUAGCUAGUUGGUGAGGUAACGGCUCACCAAGGCAACGAUACAUAGCCGACCUGAGAGGGUGAUCGGCCACACUGGGACUGAGACACGGCCCAGACUCCUACGGGAGGCAGCAGUAGGGAAUCUUCGGCAAUAGGGGCAACCCUGACCGAGCAACGCCGCGUGAGUGAAGAAGGUUUUCGGAUCGUAAAGCUCUGUUGUAAGAGAAGAACGAGUGUGAGAGUGGAAAGUUCACACUGUGACGGUAACUUACCAGAAAGGGACGGCUAACUACGUG